Small nucleolar RNA from Callithrix jacchus (white-tufted-ear marmoset), 106 nucleotides. The record is from Ensembl. NCBI's taxonomy places the organism in Eukaryota, Metazoa, Chordata, Mammalia, Primates, Cebidae.
ACCCUCUAGUAGUUCAUAAGCGUGGUGAUUAAGUUUUUACAUGCAUGUAUAAUGUGCCUCUUGCAAACCUUGUUACAAGGGUGGCACACUACCAUCCAAUGUGAAA